This 2137-nucleotide ribosomal RNA is filed under the name Salmonella enterica subsp. diarizonae. RNAcentral's name for it is "partial 23S ribosomal RNA". It matches the Rfam family "Bacterial large subunit ribosomal RNA", at positions 906 to 2925 of the family's 2925-position model. Lineage: Bacteria; Pseudomonadati; Pseudomonadota; Gammaproteobacteria; Enterobacterales; Enterobacteriaceae. The record is from RNAcentral.
AGCACUGUUUCGGCUAGGGGGCCAUCCCGGCUUACCAACCCGAUGCAAACUGCGAAUACCGGAGAAUGUUAUCACGGGAGACACACGGCGGGUGCUAACGUCCGUCGUGAAGAGGGAAACAACCCAGACCGCCAGCUAAGGUCCCAAAGUCAUGGUUAAGUGGGAAACGAUGUGGGAAGGCCCAGACAGCCAGGAUGUUGGCUUAGAAGCAGCCAUCAUUUAAAGAAAGCGUAAUAGCUCACUGGUCGAGUCGGCCUGCGCGGAAGAUGUAACGGGGCUAAACCAUGCACCGAAGCUGCGGCAGCGAACGUAUCACUUAAAACGAUUCAGAAGCUUACGAUUGACGGAGCGAAGCGACGUCAAAGCGUAUACAAAGUCGAGUCGGUUUAAGGAUACGUUCGUUGGGUAGGGGAGCGUUCUGUAAGCCGUUGAAGGUGUCCUGUGAGGGGUGCUGGAGGUAUCAGAAGUGCGAAUGCUGACAUAAGUAACGAUAAAGCGGGUGAAAAGCCCGCUCGCCGGAAGACCAAGGGUUCCUGUCCAACGUUAAUCGGGGCAGGGUGAGUCGACCCCUAAGGCGAGGCCGAAAGGCGUAGUCGAUGGGAAACGGGUUAAUAUUCCCGUACUUGGUGUUACUGCGAAGGGGGGACGGAGAAGGCUAUGUUGGCCGGGCGACGGUUGUCCCGGUUUAAGCGUGUAGGUGUGUGUUCCAGGUAAAUCCGGUUCACUUUAACACUGAGGCGUGAUGACGAGGCACCACGGUGCUGAAGCAACAAAUGCCCUGCUUCCAGGAAAAGCCUCUAAGCAUCAGGUAACAUCAAAUCGUACCCCAAACCGACACAGGUGGUCAGGUAGAGAAUACCAAGGCGCUUGAGAGAACUCGGGUGAAGGAACUAGGCAAAAUGGUGCCGUAACUUCGGGAGAAGGCACGCUGACACGUAGGUGAAGUGAUUUACUCAUGGAGCUGAAGUCAGUCGAAGAUACCAGCUGGCUGCAACUGUUUAUUAAAAACACAGCACUGUGCAAACACGAAAGUGGACGUAUACGGUGUGACGCCUGCCCGGUGCCGGAAGGUUAAUUGAUGGGGUCAGCGCAAGCGAAGCUCCUGAUCGAAGCCCCGGUAAACGGCGGCCGUAACUAUAACGGUCCUAAGGUAGCGAAAUUCCUUGUCGGGUAAGUUCCGACCUGCACGAAUGGCGUAAUGAUGGCCAGGCUGUCUCCACCCGAGACUCAGUGAAAUUGAACUCGCUGUGAAGAUGCAGUGUACCCGCGGCAAGACGGAAAGACCCCGUGAACCUUUACUAUAGCUUGACACUGAACAUUGAGCCUUGAUGUGUAGGAUAGGUGGGAGGCUUUGAAGCGUGGACGCCAGUCUGCGUGGAGCCGACCUUGAAAUACCACCCUUUAAUGUUUGAUGUUCUAACGUGGACCCGUAAUCCGGGUUGCGGACAGUGUCUGGUGGGUAGUUUGACUGGGGCGGUCUCCUCCUAAAGAGUAACGGAGGAGCACGAAGGUUGGCUAAUCCUGGUCGGACAUCAGGAGGUUAGUGCAAUGGCAUAAGCCAGCUUGACUGCGAGCGUGACGGCGCGAGCAGGUGCGAAAGCAGGUCAUAGUGAUCCGGUGGUUCUGAAUGGAAGGGCCAUCGCUCAACGGAUAAAAGGUACUCCGGGGAUAACAGGCUGAUACCGCCCAAGAGUUCAUAUCGACGGCGGUGUUUGGCACCUCGAUGUCGGCUCAUCACAUCCUGGGGCUGAAGUAGGUCCCAAGGGUAUGGCUGUUCGCCAUUUAAAGUGGUACGCGAGCUGGGUUUAGAACGUCGUGAGACAGUUCGGUCCCUAUCUGCCGUGGGCGCUGGAAGACUGAGGGGGGCUGCUCCUAGUACGAGAGGACCGGAGUGGACGCAUCACUGGUGUUCGGGUUGUCAUGCCAAUGGCACUGCCCGGUAGCUAAAUGCGGAAAAGAUAAGUGCUGAAAGCAUCUAAGCACGAAACUUGCCCCGAGAUGAGUCUUCCCUGAGACCUUGAGUCUCCUGAAGGAACGUUAAAGACGAUGACGUUGAUAGGCCGGGUGUGUAAGCGCAGCGAUGCGUUGAGCUAACCGGUACUAAUGAACCGUGAGGCUUAACCUUACAACGCCGAAG